This is a non-coding RNA of Acanthosepion pharaonis, 113 nucleotides long. The record is from the annotation of a GenBank genome assembly. NCBI's taxonomy places the organism in Eukaryota, Metazoa, Mollusca, Cephalopoda, Sepiida, Sepiidae.
UACGUCCAUAUCCCAUUGAAAUACUGCUUCUUGUACGAUCACCGAAGUUAAGCAAAUUCGUGCCUAGUCAGUAACUAGAUGGGUGACCGCUUGGCAAUGCCAGAUGCCGUAAG